ACGUAUCAUCACAAGAAGAUGCAUCCAUCAUGGAAACCUGCGACAAAAACAAUCAAACUCUAGAGCAGCCACAAGUCAUGACUUACGGUAAUAAUCUCGAUUUUAUACUCGCAUUCCAAGUAAAUGUAAAUCCGUCUGUACAACUAACCAUCUAUUCUGGACAGGCAUCCCCUCCUCAAUGUUUCCAAGCAUCAAAGAAAGCGAUGCACCAACACAAUCAUUAGACAAUAAAGUGGGUCUGUGGCCAGACAUCCCCUCCACAAUGCUUCAAACAAUCAAAGAAGUGCAUGGACGAAUACAAUCAUUCUGCAAUGAUGAUCACGGUAAGUUCAUAAAUUACAUAUUAAUACUUUUAUAUAAAAACAUUUUAUAUACAUAACAACAACAAAAAAUAAACAGGUAAUGAUGCAAUCAUAUAUGAGCAAGAAGCAACGAUUAAGGAAAUAGAUACGGCAGCAAAAACAAUCUACAACGAGGAUCACGGUAAGGUUAUCAAUUUCAUAAAUGUUCUUACUCAAUACAAUCAUAUAUAUACACACACACACAACACACACACAUAUAUACAAUCAAAAAUUGCAACACAGGUAAUGAUGAAGUCAUAUUUGAAGAAGACACAGACGAAGAUGAAUACAUGUUCACCGGUGAAGGUAUGCUUAAUACAAUUAAAAUAAAUUUGCAACAUUAUAACACUGCUUACUAAAUUUAAUAUGUUGCAUAUCAAACCAGAGUGGGACAGAGAAGUGGAAAUUGAAAUCGUAGAAGACGAGGAAGCUCUCAACCCCGAUCCAUAUGAUUUCGUCUACAACAACAUACCAACAAGCACAAACAUGCUCGAAGAAGAAGAAGAUUGCUCAUUAUGCCAUGCAACCAAAUUCAAGUAUGAAACUGAGGGAUUAUGCUGCAAAAAAGGACAAAUAAGACUAGCCACUCCAGAUACGCCUCCUGAGCUAAUGAGACUUUGGACAAGCAACAACCCUGAUGCAAGACAUUUUCGCCAAAACAUAAGAUUUUUCAAUGGGCACUUCUCAUUUACUACUCUAUACUGUCACCUCGACAGAGACACGACAGACAUGCGAACGGCCGGUAUUUACACCUUUCCAGCACAUGGUCAGCUAUAUCACAACAUACACUCAUUUGGUAAUAGCCAAUCAAAUCCAAAGCAUCUCGAGCUAUACUUCUACGACGAUGAUCCAAGCUUAGAGCAUCGAUACCGCCUUUGCCGUGAGGAAAUGUACAAGCAAGACAAGAAUGUCAUUCGAAUUAUAACAGACAUCCUACGCGGUAACCCAUACUCUCAACAGUUCAGAAGUUUGGGACAAGCCGAAAACAUUGAGGACUAUAGACUCAUCUUGAACCUUGACCAGAGAUUGGACCAAAGAACAUACAACGAGCCAAUCAAUUCGGAGGUAGCUGCAGUGUGGAUUGAAGGAAAUGAAAGAAGGGAUACUUAUGACAGAAAUGUAAUAUUACAUGGGAACAACAACGAAAAAGAGCACAUUCGAUCAUAUUGUGGGUGCUAUGAUCCGUUGUCAUAUCCUCUAUUCUUUCCAAGAGCUGAACUCGGUUGGCAUAGGAAAAUACCAAAGAGGGAAACACAAGAGGCACAUAUUGCUACUGAUAAUAUCAUUAAUGACGAUGACCCAGGUAAAAAACAUAUACUAUUAUAUAUUUAAAAUACAAUUUUCAUAUACUAAUACCUAUGCAACUAACUUUUUAUCUUGCGAUAUUUGCACAGAUUCAGUCAGUGGCCUGUGGGUAACCAUGAGAGAAUACUACUGCUAUAAAUUCCAUACACGACCAGGCAUAUUCAACCCAAUUUUGCACGGCGGACGGCUUUUCCAGCAAUUUGUUGUAGAUACAUACAUCAAGAUUGAAAGUUCCAGACUGGAUUACAUCUGGCACAAUCAAAAGCAAAUAAGGGCGGAGCUAUACCAAGGCCUUCUAGACAGGAUUUAAGCUAGAGAGCAAAAUGGAGAUGCAGUCAGAAAAAGAAGAGUGCUUGCCUCAUCAUUUAUUGGAGGGCCACGAGAUAGACUUCGUCGGUAUCUCGAUGCUAUGGCUUUAGUUAGAAAAUAUGGAAAGCCAGACGUAUUCCUAACAAUGACCUGCAACCCCAACUGGGAAGAGAUCACACGUGAACUAGAGACUGGACAAACACCACAAGAUCGCCCAGACAUUGUCGUUCGUGUUUUCAGGGCAAAGCUACAAGAAAUGAAGAAGGAACUAUUUGAGAAGGGAAUUAUUGGAAAGGUUCAGGCAUAUACAUAUGUCGUAGAGUUCCAAAAGAGGGGAUUACCCCAUGCUCACUUUUUCCUCAUCAUGACUGGAAAAUACAAGUACACAUGUCCAGAACAGUAUGACAGAAUCAUCUCCGCCGAGCUCCCUAACAAGCACAAGUACCCAUAGCUAUACAGAAUGGUAAUCAAACAUAUGAUGCAUGGUCCUUGCGGUGCAUUGAAUAAACUUUGUCCAUGCACAAAGAAUCGUCCAUCAUGCAAGAACAAUUAUCCAAGGCCAUUUAACGAAACUACGAUUCAAGGCAAGGACUCCUACCUGAUAUAUAGGAGAUGCAAUGACGGUCGGACUGAAACGGUCCGAAAUUGCGAACUAGAUAACAGGUGGGUGGUUCCUUACAAUCCCUAUCUGUUAAGGAUGUUCAACUGCCACAUAAAUGUUGAGAUAUGCGCAAGCAUUAAAGCCAUAAAGUACCUCUUCAAGUACAUCUACAAGGGUCAUGACCGGGCGUCUGUAUCUGUAACAGACAAAGUGGACGAAGUAGAAAUCGACGAGAUUAAGCAGUACAGAGACGCACGGUGGGUGACACCUCCUGAAGCACUAUGGAGAAUAUAUGGCUUUGAACUAAGCAAAAUGCACCCACCAGUCUUGCAAUUGCAACUACAUCUCCCAAAUAAGCACAUGGUUUCAUAUCAUAGCAUGGAAACCAUACAAAAUGUUAUCGACCGUGAAGGCACAUCAAGAUCAAUGUUGACUGCGUGCUUUGAAGCAAACAUCACAUAUCCAAAAGCACGAGGCAUACUAUACAGAGAGUUUCCGGAACAUUGGCAAAGUCAAGGGAAGUUUUGGCAACAGAGGAAGCGAGCCUCGGUGUUCCAGGUUGGCAGGAUCGUCUCAACACACCCGGCUGAAGGAGAACGAUACUAUCUUCGAGUCCUCCUAAACCAUGUGACUGGAGCCACCAGCUUCGAAGACCUACGAACAGUCAAUGGAUAAGUAAUGCCAACCUUUCGAGAAGCUGCAGAAAAAGAGGUCUCAUUGAGGCAGAUAGCACAUUGGAUGACUGCAUGGCAGAAGCGGAGUUGUUUAGAAUGCCAUCAUCGCUACGAAGGCUAUUCGCGACGAUCUUGGUUUUUUGCGAGCCUAACGACGUACGCAGCCUCUGGAACAAACACCUUGAGGCAAUGUCAGAGGACUACAGCAGAAAUUGCAAAUGCAAACACACAGUCGAACAGAUGGUUCUAAAAAAUAUCAGAGACAUGUUGCACUUGAUGGGAAAAGACAUAGAAUCGUUUCCUCUUCCAAAAAUCGACCAACAGCAUGAGACGACAGAUGACAUACCGAGGGAGAUCACCGAGGAGACCUCCAUCGAGGUGGACCCCGAGGACACAACGUUGCAUAAAAACCUAAACUACGAGCAGAGAAAGGCAUACGACGAAAUCCUAGCGACAAUUGACAGCCAAAAAGGAGGUAUAUUCUUUGUGGAUGGACCUGGAGGCACAUGAAAAACUUUUCUUUAUAGGGCGCUCUUGGCAACAAUACGCAGACAAGGCAAGAUUGUUGUGGCAACCGCCACUUCUGGUGUGGCUGCUUCCAUAAUGCCCGAAGGGAGAACCGCGCACUCGUGGUUCAAGAUUCCACUUAAAAUAGACGAUGGGGAUAUUUGUGGCUUCACAAAACAAAGUGGGACAUCCAAGCUACUCCAAGCAGCAUCACUAAUAAUCUGGGAUGAAGCAUCUAUGACCAAGAGGCAGACAGUGGAGGCGCUAGAUAAAAGCAUGCGGGACAUAAUGGACAAAUCGUACCUUCCAUUCGGUGGAAAAAAUAGUUGUAUUUGGAGGAGAUUUUAGGCAAGUACUACAUGUUGUCCGAAAGGGAACAAGAGCCUAGAUAGUAGAUGCAUCACUACGCAGGUCGGUCCUCUGGAAUUCAAUGCGUCAAUUGAAGCUUGUGCACAACAUGAGGGCUCAAAACGACCUGUGGUUCCCAGAAUACCUACUACGCAUUGGAAACGGAACCGAGGAGACAAAUGAUGAUGGUGAAAUACAACUACCUACAAGUAUAUGUGUGUCAAGUAAGGAUGACAAUGGCCUGGAUAGACUAAUCAACAAUGUCUACCAAACGGACAAAGCUUCACUAAAAGAUCCAAAGUACAUCACGUCAGCAAUUUUAUCCGCAAGGAAUGACUCCGUGGACAAAAUAAACCUAAAAAUGAUUGAUCGUUUCCAGGGGAGGAGAUGGUGUACCACAGCUUCAAUUCGGUAGAAGACGACCCACAUAACUACUAUCCACCAGAAUUCCUGAACACUCUCACACCAAAUGGACUGCCUCCCCAUAUGUUGAAGCUAAAAAUAAAUUGCCCAAUCAUACUACUCAGGAACAUCGACCCUGCUAAUGGACUAUGUAACGACACGAGGUUGGUCGUACAUGGAUUCCAAAAAAAUGCAAUUGAUGCAGAGAUUGUGGUGGGAUAGUACUCUGGAACACGAGUUUUCCUACCUAGACAAUUUCCAUGUUUCCGUUCCACCACAGAGUACUGAAUUCGAUUGAUGCAGAAAUUGUGGUGGGACAGUACUCUGUGGUGGGACGAUGACAUGUUUCCGUUCAGUUUCAAGAGGAAACAGUUUCCAGUCAAACUCAGUUUUGCAAUGACAAUAAAUAAAUCACAAGGCCAAACAAUACCAAAUGUUGGCAUCUACCUGCCUGAACCGAUUUUCUCACAUGGUCAGCUAUAUGUUGCGCUAUCAAGAGCAACUGCAACAUCAAACAUAAAGGCGCUAACAGGUACACAUGAUGUGAGCAAGCAAAAGAAUAAAAAGACCACUACAGACGACACAUACACAAAGGGAGAGAAGAAAAAAAAGGAAAAGGAAGACCAAUACAUGCGAGACAUAUACGAAAAAUAUUGUCUACAGGGAAGUCCUAACAAAAUAGGUAAUACAACCUUUCGAUUUCUUCUUCAAAAAUUCAGUUCUACAUAUUCAAGUGUUGUUAUCUAACAUUAAACAUAUUACUUGGAUUAUGCAGGAACACAGCAGCCAAGUGACAAACUCGCAGUUAGAAUUAAAAACUUGAUCGUCUUGGAAGGAGACAGAAACAUUUGUGUAUAUACAAAAUUAUUGAUGGUAUAAUUUUCAUUUAUAAAGAUCUGAAUCACCAAAUCAUUCAUGGAUAUUUUUAAUUAUGUGUCCAGUAACAUGCAGAAUCUCAUCUGUGAUUAUUUUUCUCCAAUUACAUCAUUCUUAAAGCAUAUUAUUAAAUGCAAACCAAUAGCUAAUAUUCACAUUGUUAUAUUACAUAUGUACAAUGCAAUCAAAUCUGUUUUCAAAUUUAUAUAUUAAUUAUUAUCAAGGAAAUAUUAAAACUACAUCUAAUCAAAUGUGCUUAAAAUGGUUCACUGUUAAAAGAGGUAGACGGCCUGACACUGCCAAUGCCGGUACCAAGCCCCGGAAAAAAGUGGAGGGGGCAAAAACUAAUUAACAAUGAACCUUAAGAUGAGAGGUACAACAUGAAAAGAAAUAACUGUGCUCCACACAGGAAAACGGGCUGCAGAAAUUGAUAGCAAGGAAAUGUGUACCUACUUCAGAUGUAGCCUCUUAUAAAUUCAUCUUGGAUAGUAUGAACAAACUGGAACUGCACCAAGCAAUAGAAUUUGACUCAAUGA
This 5899-nucleotide long non-coding RNA is filed under the name Triticum aestivum (bread wheat). RNAcentral's name for it is "long non-coding RNA (TAES_LNC018317)". Lineage: Eukaryota; Viridiplantae; Streptophyta; Magnoliopsida; Poales; Poaceae. The record is from RNAcentral.